GCGCAGCAGGCGAGAAAACUUCACACUGUGCGAAAGCACGAUGAGGGAAUCCCAAGUGCUUGCACGUAAGUGUAAGCUGUUUCUCUGUCUAAAACGCAGAGAGAGUAAGGGCUGGGUAAGACGGGUGCCAGCCGCCGCGGUAAUACCUGCAGCUCAAGUGGUGACCGUUAUUAUUGGGCCUAAAACGUCCGUAGCCGGUUUAAUAAAUGCCUGGGUAAAUUGUGUAGCUUAACUAUACGAAUUCCGGGUAGACUGUUAAACUUGAGACCGGGAGAAGUUAGAGGUACUCCUGGGGUAGAGGUGAAAUUCUGUAAUCCUAGGGGACCACCAGUGGCGAAGGCGUCUAACUAGAACGGGUCUGACGGUGAGGGACGAAGCCCUGGGGCGC
Molecule: ribosomal RNA, 388 nt
Filed under: uncultured microorganism
Description: bacterial SSU rRNA
Rfam family: Archaeal small subunit ribosomal RNA
Source: RNAcentral